UCCCUGCUAGCUCAGUGGUAGAGCGCCUCACUAGUAAACAUCAAUCACUGGAUCUACUAUGAGGAGGUCAGUCGUUCAAGUCGGCUGUGGGGAA
Non-coding RNA from Schizophyllum amplum, 94 nucleotides. NCBI's taxonomy places the organism in Eukaryota, Fungi, Basidiomycota, Agaricomycetes, Agaricales, Schizophyllaceae. The record is from the annotation of a GenBank genome assembly.